RNAcentral lists this long non-coding RNA (2061 nucleotides) under Calidris pugnax (ruff). Its description in RNAcentral is "lncRNA (ENSCPUG00000014125.1)". Lineage: Eukaryota; Metazoa; Chordata; Aves; Charadriiformes; Scolopacidae. The record is from RNAcentral.
AUCUGCCCCAGCGGCCCCGGGAGGGGGGCAGGUGGGAUGCUCGCUGCCCCAGAGGGGAUGGGGGGUCAGAACCCAGCAAUAACUCCCCUCCAUCCCCCCCUCUUUCUUCCUUCCCGGCACCGAGCGAUGGGGAAAUGAGGGGAUCCGAGGGGAAGGAUGACACAUGUUCAGCCCAACCCAGUGGCAGAGCAGCCGGGGAGGCAGAGCCAAUAGCUGCUUUUCAUGCUCAGUGAGUCCGUCCACCUCCACCCCCCCCCCUCUUCCUCGAGUCCUUAAGUUGCAGCUUUUAACUACCUCGGUGUUCAAAGAAAAUAUGAUGCUCAGCGUGAACAGAAGGAAGAGCCUGCUGACAGGUAGACAGCAUGGACACUGAUCCCGGCAGGGCCGGCUGCUGAGAGAGGUCUCCCCGGGGGUGCUCCCGAGCCUCUCCUGCCCCAGGGGAUGCCCCAGUUCACCUUCGCUUGCUUCUGCGGGCUCCAUGGCUUCUGCAAGAUGAAGAGGAAGAAAGAAGAGUCCAGCGCGGAGCAGGAGACGGCAGUGUGAGGAGAGGACUCGUGUGUGUGCCCUGCUGAGCCGUGCCUCGGGACCCCCUGUCCCCUUCCCCUCGAUACUUGCAUGGCUGGGGGAGAGCCCGAGCACGGGAAUGACCUUGCUGAGAUGUAGAAGCAGGUGCUGUGGAUGUUAUCAAGGUGCUGCACCAAUUCUACCCCCUGACACUCAGCCCAGCCAGGCAUGGAGCCCUGGGGAGCCGAGCAGCUGCUGUCGGAGGGACCCUGGGUCCCAGCCGGGUAGAGAUUUCCCUCCUGAGCGAGUCGACCUGCCCUUGCUCCAACAAGUCUCAACAGACAGACCUGGAGAGGUUUCCAAAAGCCGGGGCCAGACCCUGUCCCUCCUGGAGUCGUGGUGCCGGAGAGGCUGGUCCCUGGCUGCUAUCACCUGAAAAUCACCGCCUUUUCUCCCUCGCGAGGGCAGGAUUUUUUCCCAGCUGCUCGACGUUCCCGUGCUGACCCGCUGCCCUCCUGGGGGAUUGAGCAGAGAAAUACCGAGGGCAGCCUGAUAAAAUCUGCAGGGUCACGGUCCGGCUCCAUCCUCCCAGCCCGUCCCUGCUCGCCUCUGCCUUCCAAAAACAACCCGUCUUUGUGGCUGCCCCAAAACACGGCAUUUUCCAGAAGGUUACCGGGAGGACAGAGCGCAGGCAGCUCCAGGUGGGCACAGGGAAGCUCACGCUGCUUUGGGAAAAUGCUGACCUUGUUCUAUUCCUAUUUUUGCACAUCAGCACAGCCUCCCGAAUUCAGGGUUUGCAGCCCCGGUGCUGUCCUUGGCGAGGACCUUUGGAGUUAUCUUUGGGCCAAAAAAAAAAAGAAAAAAAAAAAAAAAAAGAAGGAAGUUGGUGAAACACGAAGCGUAUUUUUUGAAUGUAACUUUAUUUUUGCACAGUUUCCCCCUGUAACGUGUGGUGACCCCGUGGUGAUGCACUCGUGGACUUCAACCACCAGGGAUUAACCACUGCCCUGGAGUUUAUUCCAGAAAAAAAAAGAAGAAAGUCAGUGAAACAGUGAAACGCAAAGCGUAUUUCUUGAAUGUAACUUUAUUUUUGCACAGUCCCCCCCCGUAACGUGUGGUGACCCCGUGAGUGAUGCACUCGUGGACUUCAACCACCGGGGAUUAACCACUGCCCUGGAGUUUAUUCCAAGUGUAAAGAUACGGGUGAAACUCAACCUUUGCUUUAUGCUGGUCUAAAUCCAGAGAGACAGUCUGUGUACCGAGGUGUCUACAAAAAUAUUAAUUUAUACAAAAAUAUUAAUUAUGCAGAGAUGAGCUUGGACUGGACCCCAACACUCAGAUUUCUCCUGGAUGUGUCUCAGACCCAACCCUAUGCAAAAGCAGGUACGCAACAAGCACAAGGAGGAGAAGAGGGGGUUACAGCAGGCACACGCUCAGGAAGCCCUGAGUCAACACAGCCCCGCUUAAAUUUUAGUGUUUGCUUUGGGAUUUUGCUCGAUCCGAUAAAUUUGCCUAAUUCCCCCCUAAUAAAACUGUAUCGAUCCCUGCGGAAGUGCA